Molecule: long non-coding RNA, 865 nt
Filed under: Gallus gallus (chicken)
Lineage: Eukaryota; Metazoa; Chordata; Aves; Galliformes; Phasianidae
Source: RNAcentral
GCCUUAAGCAUUAUCCUGGCCAAGAGCCUGAUUACUCAGCACCUACCGCAGAGGUCUUUAAUGGGCAGGGAAGUUAAUAGCACUGCAGGUGCUUGGCCUGAAAGAAAAGGGAGGUGCCAUCUUCUGUGCCUUGGUCAAUUUUGGGGUUGGAACCACAUGAUCUUUAAGGUCCCUUCCAACCUAAGUCAAUCUAUGAUUCCUGCACAGAUUACUGCAGAAUUCAGAUACAACCUUGGUGUCAGGACUAUGUUUGGAAAGAGGAAGAUAUGCUGUAGCAAGUCACAACAGUAGCACAUCACUUGUACCAUCCACCUUUGGAAUGCCGGGAUGAACUGUUACAGUUUUAACGUGUACCUGGGGAAUAACACUGAAAUAUAGCCCAUUUACCAACUGUACCGAGGUGCUAUCCUGGGCUAUUGCUGGUUUUCAUAGAAAAACAAAUUAUAGAAUGGCUUGGGUUGGAAGGGACCUCAAAGUCCACCUAGUUCUAGCUCUGUGCUGUAGGCAGGGCUGCCCCCACCAGCUCAGGCUGCCCAGGGCCCCAUCCAACGUGGCCUUGAACCUCCAGGGAUGGGGGCACCCACAGCUCCUGUGGGUAGCCUCUGCCAGUGCCUCACCACUCUCUCAGUGAAAAAUCUCCCCAACAUCAAAUCUAUUUUAUUGUAAUGUUAUCCAGAAGCUCCAGCUGCAUCUGCAUUGUCACAGAUGCUUUUUUUUUUUUUUUUUUUUUUUUUUACAAGGCACAGUUUUAAGAACUGAAAUCUUAGACAUCUGGAUUUAUUAAAGUCCACUGUGUUGGAUGAGGGAAGGAAUUCUUUUUAAGCGUACUUUGUUUUCACCUCCACGUAGCAGAGCUGGCACUGAG